This 388-nucleotide ribosomal RNA is filed under the name Metopograpsus thukuhar. RNAcentral's name for it is "partial 12S ribosomal RNA". The record is from RNAcentral. Lineage: Eukaryota; Metazoa; Arthropoda; Malacostraca; Decapoda; Grapsidae.
UUUAGAAUUAAAUGUAAUAUAACUCUGGGUAAGUAGUAGAUAAGUACUUAAAAAUUAAAAAAUUUGGCGGUGAUUUAAUCUUUUUAGAGGAACUUGUUUUUUAAUCGAUAAACCACGUUCAAUCUUACUUGUUUUAGUAGAUCAGUAUGUAUACCAUCAUUAGCAGGUAAUUUUAACAGGAAAAAUUACUAAAAAUAAUUAAUUACAUAAAUUAGAUCAUGGUGCAGCUUAUAGACAAGGUAAAAUGAGUUACAAUAAAGUAUUUUAGAUGAAUUGAUAAGGGAAUCCUUAUUAUAAAGGUGGAUUUAAUUGUAAAUGUGGAUUAAUAAGCCUAUUUGAUAUUGGUGCUAAAUCAUGUACAUAUCGCCCGUCGCUUUCGCUAACCGAA